RNAcentral lists this long non-coding RNA (4558 nucleotides) under Sus scrofa (pig). RNAcentral's name for it is "lncRNA (ENSSSCG00035029909.1)". The record is from RNAcentral. Lineage: Eukaryota; Metazoa; Chordata; Mammalia; Artiodactyla; Suidae.
GCAAUGCCAUAUCCUUUAACCCACUGCACUGGGCCAUGGAUUGAACCUGAACCUUCACAGCAACCCAAGCUGCUGCAGAUUCUUCACUCACUGUACUACAGUGGGAACUUUUGGGUCCUCUGUUCUACCCUAGAUUUUAAACCCCAAACUUACCCUAUUCAAACCAUCAAAAUUGAAAUUUUGGAUGGUUUCAGUACUAUUGACUAUAUAAUGUACUAGGAUUAAGUUUCCAGUCAUAAAAUUUUGUUUAUCGACUUCUGUAACUAAUUUUUAUAUGCUCUAAUAUAUCUGUAAAAGCAUAAUUAUUCCAAAUGCCCAAGUACCUCAGAUUCCUUUUUUACCCCUUGGAUAACCCCCUUCCUUAACUGUCUUCCUACUCUAACUUCUUUUGGUCAAUAUUAGGAAUCCCUUCCACGGUUCACCCUGGGGAAUAUCUUGUUUCAUGAAUGCCAUCUCCUUUAUGUAUUUUCCUUAACAUAUUUUCCAGUCUCUUCUAAAAGAGGGGUUCCAGCAGCCAUACUGUUUUCUGAUUCCCUGCAUACUUAAAAAAUGUUAUGUUGCAUCCUGUUGCUUGAGGGAACUUGGCCAACUAUAGCUCUCUCUCUCUCCUUACUGUAUGGUCUCUCUCCUCAGAGGCUGUAAGCAACAUUCAGCUAUUGAGCAUGACAGUUUUUUUGUUUUGUUUUGUUUUACCUUUUAUUCUGUUCUACUGUACAGCAUGGUGACCCAGUUACACAUGUAUGUAUACAUUCUUUUUUCUCACAUUAUCAUGCUCCAUCAUAAGUGACUAGACAUGGUUCCCAGUGCUACACAGCAGGAUCUCAUUGCUAAUCCAUUCCAAAGGCAAUAGGUGGCAGAAAAAGCACUGUAAAUCUGCUAACAUUGAAAAAUGUUAUACUCACCAGCCUCCAUGCAGUGAAGGUAAAAAUAGAGGUUUACAAUACCCAGAAGUUCCCAAAAGCACAGACUAGAAUUCUUCAGAAACAAAUCAUUCUUUCUGCCCCAGGUUUUGACAUUAUCAAACUUUCUAUCCAAUGUCUCACCUAGGGUAGGGCCUCAGAUCUUACUCCUCCCCCCAAAUCAGCCUGCUCACUUAUAAUGUCGUAACAUACUGAAUAGGCUAGGGUUUUAGGCUGUUUUUCAUGCCUCUACAGUCAUUUCUCAUCAUGCUGUGUAUCUCUUUAAAAACUCUGCAGAGAAGGAGAACAUCCUUCUCUUAAUAUAUUAUAGAUGACAGCUCAUAUUAAAUGGAAUCUUUUUUUUCCCCUACUGUCAGUACUUUGGGUACAAUUUUUUAAUGCAAAUAAUUUUCCCCCUUCAGAUUGUUAGCAUACCUCUAAAAUGCUGUGUGAAGUUGAAAUUGCUUAGUACAUUUUAUUGUUGAUUUUACUCCAAUUUCUUGUCCAUGGUUUAAAAAUGAAAUACCUUCAGGGAUUUGAAGUCAUUAUUCCACUGACUUCUAGGACCCAGUAUUGCUAUUCCACUCCAAUUCCUAGUUCAAAUGUUUACUUGCUAUAUCAGUGUGGACUUCACUGAAGAGCAAGCAAUAGUAAGCUGAUCUUUUUUUAGAGGGCAUCCAGAAACUUCAAGGUAAAAGGGUAAAAUAAACCAUUCAGAUUUAGAAAUAUCUUUGCAAGCAGACCUUGGGUUUCAAUUACUUCUAUUUUUGCUAACUUAACCUUUAAUAUUUUAUAAGUAUACUAAAAAAUAAAAUUUAUAAACCAAACACAUGUAGACAGCAAAAGUGUCGCUUUAGUAGCCAAAGGAUUCUGCAUUUUCUAACUUAAAUAGAAAUAUAUAUAUGUAUACACACAUACACACACAUAUAUAUAUAUGACUGGGUCAUUUUGCUGUACAGCAGAAAUCAACAUUGUAAACCAAUUAUACUUCAAUUUAAAAAUUAAAGGAAAAAUGUGAUUCCUUAGAAUAAAACUAACCUUUUAUCAUUAAAACAUAAAAUACCAAUAAGUCUGGCUAAAUUAAAUAUGAAUCAAAUCUGUUUAUUGGCCUGUUUUCCUGCUUCUUGGUAACUGCCUCUGCUUAUCACUUAUUUCCUUUUCCAUGAAUCCAACUCAAAGAUACCUACGAGACUAAAACUAUUUUAAACAAUUGAGGAAAACGGUUAAUUGUAAAAGAGAACUAAAUAUGAAUAUAUAAAAUUCAAAAUUAAAAAAUACAUAAAAGUACAUAUCCAAAAUCUUAUAUAUUGACCAUCUAAACAGUCUUAAUUCACCAAACAACUGGUCAGAUUUUAACCUCAUUUUCAACACAUUCUCACUGAGUAAGAGUGAGGGUAAGAAAUUUCCAAGUUCCUGCCCUUUCUGAUCCAUUGAUUUGAUCUAUGACCUUUCUGUCUUGACACUGGUGAACCCCAAUUUUACAAUCUAUAAAACCAUUCCUUCUAGAUUUACUAUUCGACAAAAUAUUCUGGUCUUCAUAUACUUUAGAAAAAAAUGAUGCAACCAACCUGCCUCUUUACAGUAUGCAGUUCAAAAUGAUGCAUGCCUUCUAUAUUACUUAUGUCACUCGAUGAUCUAAAAUUUAUUAUACUUCAGUUAUUUUUAUGUAUCUUAUAUAACUAAAAUAUUGCAUUAGUGGUGACUGCAAAAGAAUCUUCAACCUAAAUUUAAAUAAUUUAAAGUAGAAUUGGAAAACUACCGAAAACAUCGUGAAAUAUAUAAUACCCAACAUUCCUACAAUAAAUUUUUUUCUCCUCUUGGGAAAAAAGGUUUUAUGCUAAUAGCAGUGAAGAAAAAGAUACUAUCUAGAAUUCUCAUCACAAAAUACAACUCUCAUGGACGCCUUCCAUAGACUGAUAUACUUCUGCCUUUGAUAUUCUCUUUGCAGUUAUGAGCAUUUUUAGUUCUCAAAUACAUGUAUUAUAAAGCAAAGAAACUGAAAGGAAAGUUUAGGGAUAAUGAAGAUUGGGCUUUUCCUCCCAAGAUGCACAGAGUAAAUAUUUUGUAUAAAUUUGGUGCAAAAUAUUUCAAAGUUGAGAUGUGCUAUCCUCUCAACACUAGUCUAUUCAUGCCUUUGGAUGAUCUGUGCAAGCAUUGUAAUGGAGACACUUAGCACCUUCCCAAACUUUAUUUGUCCUUCUACAAUCCUAAUUAUUAUUACAUGAAUGUAGCAAUAUCACAAGAGGAUUUAAAAAUUAUUUAAUUCAUAAUUCAGGAUUGUCAUGAGAUCAGUGUAAUUGAAUAUUUAAAUAUUAGACAGUAGCUUCACAAUGAAAAAGCACUUUCAAUUUUGUUAAAAAGUGGAAACUUCAACAUUUCCCUUGUUUUAAUCAUCGAUAUUUUUUCCCUUGAAUGUUAAGUCAGUAUAACUAGCUAGGUAGGACUGUUAAAUUAAGAACGCAGAAAAUAAGCACAUAUGCCCCCAGUAUAACCACCAUUCUACUUCAAGCAUAUUUUUGAGAAAGGCUUCCUCACUAACCAUAGAAAUAGGAUUAAGAUAGGCUGAACAAAUUUCCUUACUUCACACGACUAAGUAUCUGGAAUCCUUGCCCCCGUCCCUAAGGAAACUAACAGUACCUCCUGAUUCUUAAAAUAUUUAUAGGCCAUUUAUUAAGAACCACAAAAUUUCAGUAGGUAGAUUGAAAAUAAAAAGAUAUUAAUGUUCAAUACCUAUGCAUAAUUUAGUAAGAAUAAACUUGAUUUAAUAAAAUAGACAUUAACUAGGAUAUUAAUUCUAUAUUAAUUUUAUAGUUAAAUAAUACAUUUGUAUACAGUUUAUCUAUGCUAAUACAAAUACAACAUAAUUCGUAUAAAUGAAAUACAACUGAGUCAAACAACUGAAAUACAAUAUAGAUAGCUAAUACAAUAUAUUUAGUAAAAGAAAUUUAGGGAGCAAAGCUUUCCAUUGAUGGAAGUAUCUCUGAGUUUAAAAAUCUAAAAUCAUUUUCCUAAAGGGUUCCUCCUAAAGUAUCUAAUUGUAAUUCUGUGACCCUAAGCGAUAACAUACCUGUAUGAAAUCAAUUUUUAUUUAAAUAUGACCCAAAUUUGAGUCUUAAGUAUACAGGUACAGUACCCCUAGAAUCUAUAUAAUUAUUUGUUUGAAGGGUUAUCAAGAGGAAUAACUAUUUCUCUAAAAUAUAGACAUUUUAGGCUGACUUUUCAAAAAGCAAUGCUUUAGAUUCUCAGAGAUAUUCUGCAGAUUUCAUGACUUAGAUUGAGGGUUAAAAAUAUUUAGAUACAAAUGUUAUACUACAAUAAGAAAACUGUGAACAAUGUUAAGAUUUCAUCACAAUUUAUUGAUCCAAGAUUCAUAGCUCUUGAUUAAAUGGUCAGGAAUGUCCGUCAGUUAACCAGAUGACUCACACAUCAGGUUACUGAUUUACUUUUAUGUUCAGUGUUUUGAUGUUGUUUCAAGAGUAAAGAAAAGACGGUUCCUGGUAAAUGAAAUCCUAAUUUGUAAUUGUAAAAUUGUGCGAUUCAGGGCUGAGUUAUCACUUUGCUUCAUUUGACCAAGCAAUUAAGACACAUAUUUUAAUUGUGCUGGAUACUUGCCCUCUUGCCAUAACAUAAUGUCCUCAAUGCUGCCUACAUGGUUUUAU